UAUCCCCUGGUUUCUUUUUGUUAUCCUUAGGUUGAGAGCUCGCGAACAGAAUCAUCGGAAUAGAACACGGUGCUGAGACAGAGUUGUUUGGCAAACAGGUGGAAAAUUUGGCGAAGAGAACGGAGACAUUAAUCUCAAACCACACAGCACUUCUCCGUUUGGAAGAAGAGUGUAUUUUAAAACAUGGAACAGUGUCGUUAGCCGGUAGAUUGAGCCCUAGCACUUUCUUGUACCUAAAUCGCGAAGUUGGGUCCCUCGACCCAGCCCGUUAGCUGUUUGGCUAGCUAGCAUUGCAUUAUUAGCGAUGUAGCUCGCUAACUAGCAAAUUUGUCAGCCAAGGGGUUCAGUCGCAAAGCAAAUAUAUUUCGUUGUUUGCAUAUGGAAACUAUCAUGGUAUAAACUAUUCAGUUAUUAGAUUAAACCCCUCGGGACAUGCAUGAUCUGGAGAAUAGCUGUUUAUUGAAGAUUUGCUGAAGGAGAGAGAAUUACCCUCCUAGUAGCAAGCCAUUGUGUGAUGAUGGAAAAUGCAAUGUAUGAGGACGAACCUUUGUAACUAACUUAGCUGGCUGACCAGGCAGUUGGCACCACAUAUCAAGGAUUCUGGAUGAUUCUUCGACUAGAGCCCAUUGGGGAUCAUUAUUAUCUUUUGGAGAGGUCCUGUAAUUUAUCGCCGAGACAGUCGCAUUGUCUGUCCAUCUGACAGUGGACACAAUGGGGGAGACCAGUCUCAACGAAUCGAAUGUGAAGGUCGCAGUACGUGUUCGUCCUAUGAACAGGAGAGAAAAGGACCUGAACACAAAAUGUAUUGUGGAUAUGGAAGGCAACCAGACCAUCCUGCAUCCAGGCGGAGGAAACCUGGGCAAAGGAGACUCCAGGUGUGUGUGUGUGUGUGUGUGUGUGUGUGCGUGCGUGCACCCACCCAUGGGACUCAGUUUCAGUUGUUGAGAGUGGGUGUCCAGUGAUUUGGAGAGUGUCACAUGACUGUUUGCGUGUCGAUAGUCAGUCUGUCUAUAUCACCUGCUGAGUGCACAAUGAUUUGGGUCAGGAAGAUGGUUUGAGCAGGUCUAUGUGUGAGAGCUUGUGUGUGUCACUCGACGGCCCAUUCCUCUCUCCCAGGCUGCCUGCUGCUCCUCUCCUCAUUCUGCCUGUGUUGGGGCAUAACUCUCCUCCGGCUGACUUCUUCUCUGUUUCUCAACCCUUUCGUUGCCCCGACAACGCGGGGGGAGGUCACGCGGGUCGAUACCAGGCGACCACGGAACCCCCUCUUACUUUUGGAGAAGCUAGGGAGCGAGGGACAUUAAAAAAAAGGGAAGAGAGAGCGAAAGAAGAAGCGCACGUUUGCUUUAGCAUCUGUCGGCCAUAAAGAUCCUCUACUGGCUUUUAUGGGGUUAAACAAGGGAUGCGCUAUCAUUUUUCUCUGCCUUCUUUUCUUCCUGUCUUUUUCCAUCUGGGAGACAAUGGGGCGAGAGGUGGUGGGGGGGUUGCGACGAACAGGUUUCAAACUUGGAGAAAGACUGAGCUGGCUGCUCCCCAUCACACUCCAGACACUUAAACGGUGGAGCUGGGUUCAUGUUGUGGGCCCUGCUGCGGAGACUCAUCCUGGGAUGGAGAGAUGAAUGCUAAAGAGAGGCCCUCCUCACUCCUAUAGAGCCUCUACUGAUUCUCAUGGCACCAAAUGCCUUCCUAUGGCCCCAGUUCACACGACUGUCUGCAGUAUACAUAGCUCAGUGUUGUGCCCAGUUUAUUUAGGACAGAGGGACCUCUCCCACUCCCAUAGGCUUUCAUUGCCAUAGGGCCCCAGAUGCCUCCUAUGGCCCCAGUUCACAUGACUGCAGUAUGAGUGUAUCUGUGUCUGUGGUGGUGGAGGGGGGUCCCACUCCCCAUGAGCUCCAGGAGCAGACAGCGCUUCCACUAGAGUUCUCUCUGAUGACGUAGGCCUAACCCAAUCUGUAUCUUUCCACACCCCUGUCCCUUUUCCUGCUCCCAGCAUGUGGAGGGUGGGACGUUGUUGCCUGUCUUAACUGAUCUCUCUCCAUUGUGACUAGUGGAACAUUGACCUUGCAAUGUUUUGUCUCUUCUCCUGUGUCUUAAAGUUAAUGGCCGAUAAGGUGUUUUUCUCCCCUGUAGCAAUAGUUACAAACAGGGAUAGCCCUCUCUGUUAAUCAAUCAAAUGUAUUUAUAAAACCAUUUUUACAUCAUCAGAUGUCACAACGUGCUUAUACACAAACCCAGCCGCAGGCAGAACAGUUGAAACUGGAGCAGCUUCUGUGUUGCCUGAUCGUGUAUUGUGAUUCAUGAGUGGAAAAUGAUCAUGUCUAAUGAAUGGUCAAUAGGCCUACAGUACACGGUCUAUUGUUGAUACCCUGGCUGAGGCUGGGUGGGCCCGACAGCUGGCUCGCUCAUAUCCUUCCUGCUGCCAUUAGUUUGCAUAGUGACGAAAGGCUUUAUUUGCAUAAGUGUUGGAAUGCAGUGUUGCCUUGUUCAGUCAGACUUGGGCUCAAACUCUCAACAUGUCAUUUCAUAUUAUAUGUGGUGGCCAAUAUACCAUGGCUAAGGUCUGUUCAUAGUCACGACGCAACGCGGAGUGGAUACAUCCCUUAGCCAUGGUAUAUUGGCCAUAUAUCACAAACACCUGAGGUGCUUUAUUGCUGUUAUAAACUGGUUACCAACGUAAUUAGAGCAGUAAAAAUGUAUGUUUUGUCAUACCCGUGGUAUACUGUCUGAUAUACCGCAGCUGUCAGCCAAUCAGCAUUCAGGUCUCGAACCACCCAGUUUAUUAUAUUGACAAGUUGUUUAUUACACAUAGGAAAUGCGUAGCUGUGAAUGGAAAAAACACAUAGAGGUAGCCAACACAAUGAUGCCUCCAUCUGAAGUGUUGUUCAAACAAGUCCUCUUUUUAAUUGCAUGUAGUGUGAUCCAUAUAAAAGCACAAUGAAGCCACACUCAUUUGACACGAUUAUAAACACAGUUGGUCGUUCCUGAGAGGGUAACCUUUAAUGUGGUUGAUGUCAUAUAUUGUGGGCCAAGCCUUAAAGGCCCAGUCCACUGACCUGACCGCUCAUCGCUGACCUCUGCUUGUUAUUCAGAGUAGUAUUGUGAUCAGACACCCAUCAGACACCCAUGGCAUAAUCACUCAUUCGAAUGUGUGUGUUCUGCUGAAGCAGUGCGAUUGCUAAUUACAGGGAUGCAAAUAGGUCAUUAUUCAGUGAUAUUCUCAGUUUUGAUCGCAAAAUAGGUCAUCCAAGUUAAUCGUGUAGAUAGCCGUUACCAGCCAUUAGGCUACUACCUUCUCUUCAUCUGUUAUUUCUGCUCAUCUCCAUCAGUUAAUAAAUGUUAUUUAGCCCUGAUGGUGAGCUGGGGUGUGCAGACAGUGGUGUAAAGUACUUAAGUAAAGAUACCCCCCCAAACUACUUUCAAGUAUCUGUACUGUACUUUACUAUUAAUAUUUUUUACAACUUUUACAUUUACUUCACUACAUUCCUAAAGAAAAUAAUGAACUUUUUUACUCCAUACAUUUUCCCUGACACCCAAAAGUAGUCUUUACAUUUUGAAUGCUUAACAUGACAGGAAAAUUCUCCAAUUCACGCACUUAUCAAGAGAACAUCCCUACUGCCUCUGAUCUGGUGGACUCACUGAACACAUGCUUUGUUAGUAAAUUAUGUCUGAAUGUUGUGUACUCCUGGCUAGCUGUACAUGUUUUAAACAAGAAAAUUAUGCUGUCUGGUUUGCUUAUUAUAAGGAAUGAAUAUAACUUUUUUAGACUUUUAGUCAAGUAUUAUUUUACUGUGUGACUUGAGUCAUUUUCUAUUAAGGUAUCUUUACUUUUACUCAAGUAUGACAAUUGGGUACUUUUUACACCCCUGGCAGACAGUGAUGGGGUUUCUGUUACAAUUUAUUUAAUUAUUGCAGCGACUCAUUUCGCAUGUAAGAGCAAGCAGGCCAGUCUGACUAGGCUUUGCUGUCGUAUAGGAAAAACUGAGCACAGUGACAGUCAUGGGCUCAAACCCCUGUCUACCGCCAAUUGGCGCACAUGUGGGCCGUGAGUUUUUGGGAAAAUGCAGAUAAUAAUACUGAACAAAAAGACCCUGUGGUAUCACGGUGCUACUCCUGAUACUUGGCCUGGUAUCAAUCACACCGUUAGAAAAAUUUCCUAUUGUGACAAUGCGCAAAUUUACCCCCCCCCCCUUUUUUUGGGCCAUCAAAUUUUAUUUGUCACAUGCGCCGAAUAGAACAGGUGUAGACCUUACUGUGAAACGCUUACUUACAAGCCCUUAACCAACAAUGCAGUUUUAAGAAAAUAAUUACUAAAUAAACUAAAGUAAAAAAAUAAGAGUAACAAUAAUGAGACUAUAUACGGAGUACCGUUACCGAGUCAAUGUGCGGGGGUACAGGUUAGUCAAGGUAAUUUAGGUAAUAUGUAGGUAAGGGUAAAGUAACUGUAUAGAUAAUUGUAAAAAAAAAAGGGGGGGGGGGGUCAAUUCAAAUAAUCCUGGGUAGCCAGUUGAUUAGCUGUUCAGCAGUCUUAUGGCUUAGAGGUAGAAGCUGUUAAGAAGCCUUUUGGACCUAGACCUGGCACUCCGGUAUCAAUUGCUUUGUGGAACCAGAAAGAACAGUCUAUGACUUGGGGGACACCGCAAUUUUUAGGGCCUUCCUCUGACACCGCCUGGUAUGGAGUUCCUGGAUGGCAGGAAGCUUUGCCCCAGUGAUGUACUGGGCCAUACGCACUACCCUCUGUAGCGCCUUGCUGAGCAGUUGCCAUACCAGCCGGUGAUGUAACCAGUCAGGAUGCUCUUGAUGGUGCAGCUGUAACAUGGACCAUGAUAGUUUAUUGCAGCUUGAAGCUCUCAACCUGCUCCACUACAGCCCCGUCGAUGAGAAUGGGGGUGUGCUCGGCCUUUUGAGGUCACUAUGGUGUUGAACGCUGAGCUGUAGUCAAUGAAAAGCAUUCUCACGUAGGUGUUCCUUUUGUCCAGGUGGGAAAGGGCGGUGUUGAGUGAGUGCAAUCGAGAUUGCAUCAUCUGUGGAUAUGUUGGGACUGUAUGCAAAUUGGAGUGGUCACCAGUUUGCAUCCCUGUACUAUUUAGGUCAAUAGUACAGUAAGGAGCACAAGGGAGGGUGUCCCCUACCCCAUCCUCCCUAACCCUUACCUGUAAUAGUCUGUAGCCCAGCCUGAACCUUGUCCCUCUCCAUACUCACCCUCCCUAUGCCUUCCGCAACCAUGGCAUGCACAGUCACAGGAGAGGGGAGUGAGCGGCCAGCGUGCAUCCACGCGGAAACUUAUUUUUUUAAGUGACUGCAAUCGUAACAGAGAGAACCAGAGAACGAACGAGGAAGGACGGGCGGGCGGGCGAGCACUCAGUCUCCUGACUGCCUCCCUCUGUCCUCUCAUUGGCCGGUGGGCCGUAUCGCGUGAUCUGUAACUGGGUUAUGGGGUGCAGGACGGGGCCCCUCACAGCCCUCUGGAGUCUGAAAUCCCCCAACCCAGUGCUGCAUCCCGGCCCCUGAUUCGCUGUGACAGCUGUCAGUGUGGCGACCGUCAACCUCUGAGUGGGUUAUGGCUGGGGGGCGGGAGGGUUCCCCUCUCCUUUAUGGUGAAACUGGGCAAGAAAGACAUCCAGUAACAAUGCAUUGGCGAGGGUUGGUUAGAUUGAGCUGUGCUGUUGGCGAGGGUUGGGUAGAUUGAGCUGUGCUGUUGGCGAGGGUUGGUUAGAUUGAGCUGUGCUGUUGGCGAGGGUUGGUUAGAUUGAGCUGUGCUGUUGGCGAGGGUUGGUUAGAGUGAGCUGUGCUGUUGGCGAGGGUUGGUUAGAGUGAGCUGUGCUGUUGGCGAGGGUUGGUUAGUGUGCUGUUGGCCAGGGUUGGUUAGAGUGUGCUGUUGGCCAGGGUUGGUUAGAGUGUGCUGUUGGCCAGGGUUGGUUAGAGUGUGUUGUUGGCCAGGGUUGGUUAGAGUGUGUUGUUGGCCAGGGUUGGUUAGAGUGUGCUGUUGGCCAGGGUUGGUUAGAGUGUGCUGUUGGCCAGGGUUGGUUAGAUUGAGCUGUGCUGUUGGCGAGGGUUGGUUAGAUUGAGCUGUGCUGUUGGCGAGGGUUGGUUAGAUUGUGCUGUUGGCGAGGGUUGGUUAGAUUGUGCUGUUGGCGAGGGUUGGUUAGAGUGUGCUGUUGGCGAGGGUUGGUUAGAGUGUGCUGUUGGCGAGGGUUGGUUAGAUUGUGCUGUUGGCGAGGGUUGGUUAGAGUGUGCUGUGCUGUUUGGCUGCAGGGUUUAUACUGACUCACUGCACUAUACAGUGUUCACUAAGUUCUUGAAGAAAUUGGGGGAAAUUAUGGGCUGGGCUGUGGGGUUUUCUCUCACUGUGUGUGUGUGUGUGUGUGUGUGUACACGAGACACGGCUCCUGGUCUUGGAGAGAUGAGUAUGAUGGGAAAAGCCAGAGAUAAAAGGAAGGGGGGUGGUGGAAUGAGAGACAGAGGCAUCAUGAUGGAAGGAUAGAAGAGAGACAGAGGAAUCGUGAUGGAAGGAUAGAAGAGACAGAGACAUCGUGAUGGAAGGAUAGAAGAGACAGAGACAUCGUGAUGGAAGGAUAGAAGAGACAGAGACAUCGUGAUGGAAGGAUAGAAGAGACAGAGACAUCGUGAUGGAAGGAUAGAAGAGACAGAGACAUCGUGAUGGAAGGAUAGAAGAGACAGAGACAUCGUGAUGGAAGGAUAGAAGAGACAGAGACAUCAUGAUGGAAGACAGAGCAGACAUGUUCAAAGCCUCUAUGGGCCUAGAGGGUAAAUCACACAGCCUAUCUACUCUGUAUUGGAGAAUGGCACAAAAGUUUUACUUACUGGGGUGAUAUGCUAUGUAGGCCUAUAUGUCUGUUCUAUGUAGCCUACUGUCAGUUGGAGCUAUUAGGGAAAUAGGCUAUGAAGGCUUAUGUCAGUUGUUCUAUGUAGCUUAGUGUCAGUGAAAUGACAUAGGGCAAUUCCACUAUAACGGAGUGAUGUUGAGACUCAGAUUUUUCACUUUCAAAUGUAUAUAAAACAAAAACCAAUGAUUGCAAAGUUAAACAAAACAUACAACUCUAUGGAAUUGUCCCGUGUCAGAUACCUGCCAGAGUUUUGGAUGUUUUUAAAGAGCUGAAGUUCAGCUGAGGCAUUUUCAAAGAAUGUGCAUGGAUAAAGAGAAACAGGUGUCUGUCUGUGUUGGCCAUAUCACAAAGUGAAAUGUAUUAGUUGGUGAAAUAUUUGUGUUUCGAUUGUCAACAAUCUCUUUGUCGUUUGCGUCAAGUGUAUGUUUGUUUUUUUCGUGUGUGCGCGUGCGACACUUCUAGCGUGUGCCUCUGAGUGUAUGUUUUUUUCCAUGAAGUGUGUGUGUGUCGUCUAUGCCUUCAGGUUGUUUUGCCUGUAGUGCUCAUCUUAUGAGUCUGAUUCCGUCCUGUCUGGUUUGACAGGUAUCAUGGAGGGAUGAGUGAAAUGGAGGACAAGAAAGGGCUAGAGGCUGAUGUUAUGGGGGAGGAGAGGAUGACCAGAGGAGUGGGCUGAGUGUACAAAACAUUAAGAACUAUGCUCUUUCCUUGACAGACUAAGUGAAAGCUAUGAUCCCUUCUUGAUGUCACUUGUUCAAUCCACUUCAAUCAGGGUAGAUGAAGGGUAGGAGAUGGGUUAAAUAAUUCUUUUUUUUUGUUAAACCUUGAGACAAUUGAGGCAUGGAUUGUGUGCCAUUCAGAGGGUGAAUGGGUAAGACAACAGAUGUAAGUGCCUUUGAACGGGGUAUGGUUUGUGUCAAGAACCACAACGCUGCUGGGUUUUUCACGUUCAACAGUUUCCCGUGUGUAUCAAGAAUGGUCCACCACCCAAAAGACAUCCAGCCAUCUUGACACAACUGUGGGAAGCAUUGGAGUCAACAUGGGCCAGCAUCCCUGUGGAAGGCUUUUGACACCUUGUAGAUGCUAUGCCCCCAACGAAUUGAGGCUGUUCUGAGGGGGGGGGGGGGUGGGUUCGCAUCUCAAUAUUAGGAAGGUGUUCUAAUUGUUUUUUUCAGUCAGUGUAUUGAGCCUGCAAGUGCAAUAUGUUUUAUUGUUAUUGUCAGAUACACCAAGAUAGGUGCAGUGAAAUGUGUUUUACAGGGGCAGACAUAGUAGUACGGCGCACCUGGAGUGAAUUAGGAUGAAGUGCCUUAAGGGCACGUAGACCGAUUUUCACGUCGGAUCGGGUAUACGAACCAGCAACCUUUCGGUCACUGGCCCAAUGCUCUUAAUGCUAGGCAAGGGAAGACAUGGAGUAGAAAAAGAGGUAGAGGCAGAAGGAGGGAGGAUUGACAAAGCACUUGUGAAUGACAAUGAUGAUUUGAUGCUGCUGAACACUAGAGCUAGCAGAUGUGAUGUUAGUUCCCACUAGAACUAGCCUAUGCUAGCUUGGGUUUGGCUGCAGUUGAUUAGAGCCCUUCAGAUUUACUGCAUUUAAUCUCAUAAGCCUAAUGAAGAAAUUACAUGUUUUUGACAGCCACCCCCAAAAAAUGUUGAGGUGUAUGGUGGUAGUGCAGCCCUUUUGGAUUGGAUUAGGUUAGUGAGAAAUUCAUGACUCUUCUGAUGGUUUAGAUGGACAGAUGUAGUAACAGGACUAUCACCACCUAGGGGGUUACAUUCCACUCCCAUCUCUUCCUCCGCUAGGCUGUCUCGGUGGUAUGUAGCCAGGCCUAUAUAAGCUGUGCACACGUGUGUUGGGGAAUGCGAGAGCAGCAGCUGCUGUUAUAGCAGAGCUCCAUCCCAAAUUGAGGAUAAAAGCUCCCAAACAGUUUUACAGGGACUCUGCGACAGGAUAAAUCUAUUGUCCGGAAUGAUAGUAAACAAAGCAGCACGUCACAGGAGAGUGGAGAGGAUUCCCCCUGCCAUUAGUCAAUGCUUGUCUUCACUGGGACCACUCCAGGGUUUGGGUUAAUUGGGGCAUGAACUGAAUUUAACAGCCUAGCCAAUAAACUCCCAAACUACCAAAUAAUCUAAGUGAGGUCUGAGGCACAGCCCACUAGAUAGAGGGAAGUUGUCUGGCUAGAGGACACUAGAUUUAACUCUCCUGGCUGGGAAUGGUAGUUUCUGUUCUGACUCCACAAGCCUCUGUUUUUACUGUUGAGUUUGAUUGAAUGUCCAAUUUGUAAGCCACUUUCCUUCAGGAAUCUUCUAGGAAAGGAUCUGGGAAGUUAGAGCUGUUUGCUUAUAUUUCGCCUACCUGGUUGUCACCGCGCUGCCAAUGGGAGUGAACAGUCACACAAUAUUGCACAGACAGACAGACAGACAGACAGACAGACAGACAGACAGACAGACAGACAGACAGACAGACAGACAGACAGACAGACAGACAGACAGACAGACAGACAGACAGACAGACAGACAGACAGACAGACAGACAGACAGACAGACAGACAGACAGACAGACAGACACAGACACAGACACAGACACAGACACAGACACAGACACAGACACAGACACAGACACAGACACAGACACAGACACAGACACAGACACAGACACAGACACAGACACAGACACAGACACAGACACAGACACAGACAGACACAGACACAGACACAGACAGACACAGACAGACACAGACAGACACAGACACAGACACAGACACAGACACAGACACAGACACAGACAGACAGACAGACAGACACAGA
Long non-coding RNA from Salvelinus fontinalis (brook trout), 9647 nucleotides. RefSeq lists it as uncharacterized. The transcript is spliced from 3 exons. The record is from RefSeq and is a predicted model, not a curated record. Lineage: Eukaryota; Metazoa; Chordata; Actinopteri; Salmoniformes; Salmonidae.